Long non-coding RNA from Macadamia integrifolia, 878 nucleotides. RefSeq lists it as uncharacterized. The transcript is spliced from 2 exons. NCBI's taxonomy places the organism in Eukaryota, Viridiplantae, Streptophyta, Magnoliopsida, Proteales, Proteaceae. The record is from RefSeq and is a predicted model, not a curated record.
AGAUGGUGGGCUAUUGAAACUAUCAAUCUAUCCUUGAGCAAUUUUUAGUUUUUCUAUUUAAAAAAAAAAAAAAAAGUAGAUAAAAAGUCAAAAUUUACAACGUUAUCCAUAGUUUCACUUGACUUGGCACUCCUAAUCUUGCAAGUAGUACUAUUAAAAAAUAAAAAUGUAGAUAAAAAGUCAACAUUUAAAACGUUAUCCAUAGUUUCACUUGACUUGGCACUCCUACUUCAGCCCAGUUUGUUUGAUGGAGAAUAGAGAAAAAGGAAAAACAGGGGUGGGAAAAUGAGGAGCUUUUGGUUUGUUACUUUAUUUGGUCUCAUAGGAGUAAUAGUCUUUCUGACAUACGAAAACUUAAUCCUUUUGAAAUUCUAAAACCUGCCCUAUGGUGGACUGACACAAGCAACCAAUCCACAUUGAAACCAUCUCAGAUCCGGGUGUUUUCUCCUUCAAGUAGCUCCUUACAUAUCAACCUACCAAAUUUCAACUUCAAAUUAUGGAAACAUUUAUGAAGGAAAUGUUGAAGGCUUUACUAUCUGGAGCAAAAGAUGCAUUGCAGCGGAAGUGGGCGAUGAAGGAAGUCUGGAGUAAUUCUGAAGUCCUAAGUAACUUAACUUUUGACUUAAACACUACCUCAUAGCCGUUAGGUGUGGAACCUUUAUUUUUUUAUGUGUACAAAUCUAUGCAACUCCUAAUUUUUUGUUGUAGACCUACUAACGAGGUAGUGGUUUUUUUUGGCUAAACUUGCUUACAUGACCAUGCACAACAAAAAACAACCAUAUGUGGAUAAUCCUUAAAUAUGUAAUUUGGUCACUCUUUUUUUAUUUCUAGUUUCUUUGUUGCUUUGAUUAGAAAAAAAAGCGUUGGUUUGUUUGUUU